Molecule: RNA transcript, 1720 nt
Organism: Lathyrus oleraceus (garden pea)
Lineage: Eukaryota; Viridiplantae; Streptophyta; Magnoliopsida; Fabales; Fabaceae
Exons: 6
Source: RefSeq, a predicted model, not a curated record
UAUUUUUCUAUCUUCUAGUGUGUCUGAAACAAAUGUCUUUGAAUUGUCUCUUCAUCUUCUUCAUCGCAUUUACAAUAAUUUCAGUUUGGUUUCGAUUAUUGUUUUGGGUGUCACUGAUUAUAUUCAUAAGCAUUUGGUUGUCUGAUUCAAAUUCCACCCGCUUCAGUCCGAGCUUGAUCACAACUUCCAUAACAAUUGUUAAGGCUUUUGCUUCCGCUGCUAGAGCGUCGUCAUUCCCAUGCAUCUUCAUAGAGCUUUUCAUGAUUCAAGAACCAUCACGGUUGCGGAUAACCACUCAAAUUCCCCAGGAUCCUUCUUCUUUUAGACAAGUAUCCGAGUUCCCCUUUGUCCAACCAAUUUUAGGAGAAGCAUUGCUCUUGUUGUCUUCAUGGGUGAGGUUCAUUAGGUAACUCUUGUUUCUUUUUUAAUACUAUUGUUCAUAGGAAUAUCCUUAUGCAUGCUUGAUUUUUGACCUUCUCUUUUCUUUUACAUGUUAACUUUGUUGCCGCUCUUCUGAUGUCUGGAGUUAUGUUGAGGGGAACUUUUGUUCCUGUUCUUGUGAGUACAUUUCUUCUUGUAGUCUUCGUGAGUGAAUUUCACCAGUUUGGACCUAGAAGGAUCACUACUAAUGUUAUCCUUUAAUUGGUUCAUUUCUUAUUUAGCCUUGGGUUCCUCCAUAUUAUUCUAGCCUUUCUGAUUGUCCCGGGAGUUCGUCGCUUUGAAGUCAAUGAAGCUCUUGUUGGCUAACUAGGUAACCUCCAUACUUUGAAGGUUUGACAUGCACCGUUUUUUAGUUGCUCUCUGAACUUGUGCCUAUGUACUCCAUAAAGAAGGCAUUAACUAAACCGAUUAGGGGACAUAGAAAAGAGAAAAGGACCUAUCAAAAUUCCAACGAGAUGGGAAAAAGAAAGUGUGAAACAAAAAACAGGGAAAAGAAAGAACACAAAGAAAGAAGACCAAAAAACAAAGAAAAAAAUAUAAAGAUAAUGAUAAGGGAACACAUAAUAACCAACAGAAAGAAGGAAUCACAAAAACACAGGAAAAACACAACAACACCUACAUAGGGGGACACACACAAGAUGGGAGGAGAUUUGUGGUUAUUGUUGGUAUAAGCUCUAUAGACCAAUAACUUUAUUAGAAUUAGGUACUUGUAUCAAAUUAUCUAUUAAUAAUAAUAAUAAGACAUUUAUUUGUUAUGUUUGUUUUUCUAAAAUAAUAAAGUCCCUAGAAUAGGUAGUCCGUUUAAUGAAACAUUAAAUGUGACUUAAUCAUGAGAUUCCAUUAAACAUAAGGAUACUAUUCUUAAAAUAUCUAUAGUAGAGCUUUAUUGUGAAAUGAGAUGAUAUUAAAGCAUUGAGACUAUUAUAUAGAUAGACUGAUGAUCACAUCUCAAGAGUCAUGGAUAAAGAGUUAUCAAAUCUUCACAUAAAUAUAAAUAAGGGUGGGAAGAAGUCAGUUCGAGCUGAGCUUUACUUAAAUAAAUUAGGCAUAAUGAAAAAAAGUAAGGCCUAAUCCUGACCUAUUACCUGUCAAAGGAUUUAUUUUGAAUAUGAAUUGACCUUUUUUAAAGCUUACUUGACCUUUUUAAAAACUUACUUGACCUAUUAGUCUGUUUAAAAGCCUACUUUUUAGAUUCUGUAAAUCCAAUUUUUUUAUGUUAAUAAAGUUUUUUAGAGCCUCUACAUCUUUUUUCCCACUUUUUGCAUCAUACUAAAUGUAA